This 435-nucleotide ribosomal RNA is filed under the name uncultured Glomus. Its description in RNAcentral is "SSU rRNA". It matches the Rfam family "Eukaryotic small subunit ribosomal RNA", at positions 597 to 1036 of the family's 1831-position model. Lineage: Eukaryota; Fungi; Glomeromycota; Glomeromycetes; Glomerales; Glomeraceae. The record is from RNAcentral.
GCGUAUAUUAAAGUUGUUGCAGUUAAAAAGCUCGUAGUUGAAUUUCGGGGUCAGCAGGUUGGUCGUGCCACUGGUAUGAACUGGUUUCGCUGAUUCCUCCUUUCUGAAGAACUGUAAUGUCAUUAAUUUGGUGUUGCAGGGAAACAGGACUGUUACUUUGAAAAAAUUAGAGUGUUUAAAGCAGGCUAACGCUUGAAUACAUUAGCAUGGAAUAAUGAAAUAGGACGUUCAAACCUAUUUUGUUGGUUUCUAGGAUUGACGUAAUGAUUAAUAGGGAUAGUUGGGGGCAUUAGUAUUCAAUUGUCAGAGGUGAAAUUCUUGGAUUUAUUGAAGACUAACUACUGCGAAAGCAUUUGCCAAGGAUGUUUUCAUUAAUCAAGAACGAAAGUUAGGGGAUCGAAGACGAUCAGAUACCGUCGUAGUCUUAACCAUAAA